CACGUAGGCGGAUUGUUAAGUCGGGGGUGAAAUCCUGGAGCUCAACUCCAGAAUUGCCUUCGAUACUGGCUUUCUAGAGGCUGGAAGAGGUUAGUGGAAUUCCCAGUGUAGAGGUGAAAUUCGUAGAUAUUGGGAAGAACACCAGUGGCGAAGGCGGCUAACUGGUCCAGAUCUGACGCUGAGGUGCGAAAGCGUGGGGAGCAAACA
This 207-nucleotide ribosomal RNA is filed under the name uncultured bacterium. RNAcentral's name for it is "partial 16S ribosomal RNA". It matches the Rfam family "Bacterial small subunit ribosomal RNA", at positions 568 to 774 of the family's 1533-position model. The record is from RNAcentral.